RNAcentral lists this long non-coding RNA (1397 nucleotides) under Sus scrofa (pig). RNAcentral's name for it is "lncRNA (ENSSSCG00055025095.1)". Lineage: Eukaryota; Metazoa; Chordata; Mammalia; Artiodactyla; Suidae. The record is from RNAcentral.
AAGGAGCGCAGCUGAAAAGGACGUUUCCUUGACUCCCGAGGCCGCGGUUUGCACGGCAGCCUCCUGCCUCUGCCUUCCCUGUUGACGUUCAAAGCCCAGCUCCGAAUCCCGAGGAGAAGCUUCCUCUCUCAUCAGAGCCGGAUCCCGCAGAUCAGGAGGGCCUCAGCUUCCAGAUACGGCCCCCGUGACACGCGCGCCGAGCGCCUACCGUCUGUUUAACGGCCCCAGCGUCAGGAAGGUGACUUCUCCUCCCUGGAGCAAAGCCGCAGACACACAGACGGUAAUGAUGGCGAGAGAGAGAGAGAGAACAAAAGAAAAGGAAGAAAGAAGAGAAAAAGAGGCCACCUUCCCCAGUACCUCAAGCUCCCGCUGGACGCACAGCAGAACUGCAAGGGCGAGCCGACUGAAUGUGAGACCCAGGGCGGGGGCUGCCCCGGAGGCCCUGCAGCCCGCGGAGUCUCCCAGUGUCAGUGCACUUGUGUGAUGUUCUCUGAGGGCAACGACGCCUUCGAGAAAAGCCUCCAGCUCCUUUCCCCCAAAACAGAAUUUCAUUUGAAAAUGAAAACACAGCACAUCCAAACUUGGGAGAUACAGUCAAAAAAACGCUUGGAAGAAUAUACGAUUGUCAGGGGACCAUGGGCUGAACCCGCCCACCUUGGCCAGCAAGGUGGUUGCUCGAGCUGACUCUCAGCAGGACGCCUGACAAGGAACCCAGGGCUGCCCUGAGACUGAGCUGGAGGACUUGCGAGGGGCCAGGAGGAGGGAGGAGACCCCUGAGCUCCCAGCAUCCUUGCACUGGAAUCCGCCUCGGCCGAGAGGUGCACGUGCCACCAGGAAGGACCCUGAGCCAGACUAAGCACCGGCCGAGCAAGACAACUGGAAACUCACCCCAUUCCCAUAAACCCUGAGCCUGCGAGCCCCGUGGCAGGGCAGUUCUCCCGGUUCCCUCACCUGCUGCUCUCCGCCCGGCCGCCCCUUCCCAGCACAGCCUCUUGCUUUGUCAGCACGUGUGUCUCCCCGGACAACUGAUUUCUGCGUGUCAGACAAGAGCCCGCACUCGGGCCCUGGAAGGGGUCCCCCUUCCAGCAACAUUAUGGCUUUAAAUGCCUAUAUUAGAAGAGGAAAAGGAACUCAGUAACAUAAGUUUUCACAUGAAGCUUUCACUGCUGCAGCCUGGGUUCAAUCCCUGGUCUAGGAACUGAGAUCCCACAUGAAGCCACCGCUCCCCCGGCCCCUCACCCCAAAUUCAACCUUUUUGUACCUCAAAAGGCACCAUUAGGAAAUUGAAGCGACAUACAACAGGCUGGGAACGAAUAUUUGCAAAACACACCUCUGCUAAAGGACUUGAUCCGGAUACACGAAUAACGCAUGCGUGUUAUGGUAAGAAUGCAGUUCGG